UGGGGAAUAUUGCACAAUGGGCGCAAGCCUGAUGCAGCCAUGCCGCGUGUGUGAAGAAGGCCUUCGGGUUGUAAAGCACUUUCAGCGAGGAGGAAGGGUUCAGUGUUAAUAGCACUGUUCAUUGACGUUACUCGCAGAAGAAGCACCGGCUAACUCCGUGCCAGCAGCCGCGGUAAUACGGAGGGUGCAAGCGUUAAUCGGAAUUACUGGGCGUAAAGCGCACGCAGGCGGUUUGUUAAGUCAGAUGUGAAAUCCCCGCGCUUAACGUGGGAACUGCAUUUGAAACUGGCAAGCUAGAGUCUUGUAGAGGGGGGUAGAAUUCCAGGUGUAGC
RNAcentral lists this ribosomal RNA (332 nucleotides) under uncultured bacterium. RNAcentral describes it as "partial 16S ribosomal RNA". It matches the Rfam family "Bacterial small subunit ribosomal RNA", at positions 355 to 679 of the family's 1533-position model. The record is from RNAcentral.